GUGCCCACCUGAGCAACACCUAUACUACAAUUGGAAUGAUACAGAGAUGAUUAGCAUGGUCCCUGCACAAGGAUGACAUGCAAAUUUGUAAAGCUGUCCAUAUUUUU
This 107-nucleotide small nuclear RNA is filed under the name Zalophus californianus (California sea lion). The record is from RNAcentral. Lineage: Eukaryota; Metazoa; Chordata; Mammalia; Carnivora; Otariidae.